UGAGGAUAACAAAGAGCGAUAAGGAAUGGAUGUUGUCUGCAUGCUGUAUGUUUAUGACAGUUGGCAAUGGGCUUUGUUGCAAGGAUAGGUUCCUGGGUUAGUGUUUUUGUGGGGAAAUGACCAAAAGCAAGGAUUUGGAAUAGAAAACUAGUUGAAAAUUGCAUGAGAAUAAGCUAGACAAUUCAGCUUUGUCCUCUGCAUUGAACUGUACAAGUUUGGGGAGGACCAGAGGGAAAUCUGAUGUUAAUUUAAGUAUUUAAACUUCAUUUAAAUGUAAAAUUGAACAAAACCUGGAAGCCACUAGGACGCCUUCUGAAUCUACUGUCCAAGCCCUCCCCCACUUCCUAGCACAGAGAAGAGUCCAGCCCUUUGACUUUUACUUUCAUCUUUCUGUAUACUUCUAGGAAAGAGGAGAAAGGAGUCAAAGGACAGUACCAGUUUGCAGGGAAGAAGGACCACAUGGCCCAGGAGCGAGAGUCUAGAAGGAGAACUGAGGAAUGACUUGGUUAUUUUAGUGGUUUGUGAUCUUUAAUGUGAUGGAAUGAAAACUGGAAGUUGGAAUUCUACAAGACAUGGCCAUGGAUGCAGACACAGAACUCUUGGAAAAGAUUAGUCUGAACGAAUCUGCCUCCGAGAUGGGGGAGGAAGAAGGAAAAGUCUUGGGAAACAACAGUAACCAUGCUGCACCAUCCCUGAUCUCCAGCCUCCAGGAAGGGGCCUCUGCACUGAAUACUUACACAGCAGAGGAGGAGAAGAGCAAAACACCUCCAAAGAACAAGGGCCAGAUCAUUUUUCAUGACCACAUAUAUCUGAAAUGGGUUGAAUGGGAAGGGUCAGUUCCAAGGGGGGCAGUUUCCAUCUGGAAUGAGGAGGCAUCUCGCACAGACUAUUUCUGUGCAGAGGCAGGAUGUUCUGUUGGGUUUUUCAAUGAAAGUAAAGGUCCAUAUUGUUACUACCCCUAUGCUGAUCAAGAACAUCACACCUCAAACAUCAGAAUGUUGGUAAAUGAGGAUAACGUUGAAGUGCUAGAGUGGAAGGAAGAAUCAUAUGGCUCCGUUCCACCAAAGUCAGUUCCAAGCUACCCAGGAGUUAACGUUUUUGUUGGUAAGAAUUGUUAUGGCUUAGGGAAAGUAGUCCCUAGAUGUGAAGCUUUCUUCUUACCUCAUAAUGGCAAAGAGAAGUGUUACAAAGAAUAUAAAGUUCUGACUGCUAACACUCCCAGGAGAUAGCAAAAGUUCAGUAUUUAAUAAAUAAGGCAAAAUUUUCUUACUGGCCAAUUCCAAUCUUAACAAUGUCCAAAAUCCUUAACAAUUUUCAAAAUAUAAAAGAAACCAUGACUAAUGAGCAACAUUGUAACAUUGGUCACCCAACUUGUGACAGGUUCAGUCAGAGAGACCCCUCUGUGACUGUCAUUUGAUAUGCUGAAACUACCUCUGAGCUCAUUUACCCUGUAGGUUUCAGGUGUAAUCUGCAACUGCUUCAAAACAAGUUCCUUAAAUUUACCAUAGUUUGAAGCAUCAGCAAUAGGCAUCUUAUUAAAUAUGUCCAGAGCUCUCCCAGUCAAUUUUGCAACCAAAGUGGUCAUUUUUUGAUCUUCAGGAAUCUCAUGGAGAGUACAUAGUCUCUCAAAGGUGAUGAAAUAUUCGGCAAUAUAACUGGAUUCAUCAUACUGUGAGCAUAAUCGUUCCCAUUUGUGGAUUUUUGUGGAAUUAGAGCCAGCUGCUGAAGGGUUUUGUCUCUUCCACUCUAUUACAGCCAGUUCAUGUUUCUGUGUCUCAAUUUGGGCCUGUAUUUCUGUCUUUUAAUUCCAGGGCAGCUUUUUGUGCUUCAAUUUCUUUAUCUUUUAAGUCCAGGGCUUGCUGGUGGGCAGCUUUUUGUGCUCCAGUUUGAGCCUGUUUCUGGGCCUCCAUGGUUUCCCUGGCUGCAGCUGCUUCUUUGAGCCUCAGUUCUGCCUGCCACAUUUGAAACUCAUGGUCCUUUGCCUUUUCUUCCGCUUCCAGUCUGGCCAGCUCUAGUUUUGUAGCUGCCUUACUGGUAGUCAUUUUCCUGCUUUCUUGUACUUAUUUCCCUCACCCGAAAUAAACAAACAGAAAAUAACA
Non-coding RNA from Chrysemys picta bellii (western painted turtle), 2099 nucleotides. The record is from RefSeq and is a predicted model, not a curated record. Lineage: Eukaryota; Metazoa; Chordata; Testudines; Emydidae.